UACGGGGGGGGCAAGCGUUGUUCGGAAUUACUGGGCGUAAAGGGCGCGUAGGCGGCGUGACAAGUCACUUGUGAAAUCUCUGGGCUUAACCCAGAACGGCCAAGUGAAACUGUUGUGCUAGAGUGCAGAAGGGGCAAUCGGAAUUCUCGGUGUAGCGGUGAAAUGCGUAGAUAUCGAGAGGAGCACCAGAGGUGAAGACGGGUUGCUGGGCUGACACUGACGCUGAGGCGCGAAAGCCAGGGGAGCAAACGGG
This 253-nucleotide ribosomal RNA is filed under the name uncultured bacterium. Its description in RNAcentral is "partial 16S ribosomal RNA". It matches the Rfam family "Bacterial small subunit ribosomal RNA", at positions 524 to 776 of the family's 1533-position model. The record is from RNAcentral.